CCUACGGGAUGCAGCAGUGAGGAAUAUUGGUCAAUGGGCGCGAGCCUGAACCAGCCAAGUCGCGUGAGGGAAGACGGUCCUAUGGAUUGUAAACCUCUUUUGUCGGGGAGCAAAAGACGCCACGCGUGGCGUUCCGAGAGUACCCGAAGAAAAAGCAUCGGCUAACUCCGUGCCAGCAGCCGCGGUAAUACGGAGGAUGCGAGCGUUAUCCGGAUGUAUUGGGUUAAAAGGGUGCGCAGGCGGAAGAUCAAGUCAGCGGUAAAAUUGAGAGGCUCAACCUCUUCGAGCCGUUGAAACUGGUUUUCUUGAGUGAGUGAGAAGUAUGCGGAAUGCGUGGUGUAGCGGUGAAAUGCAUAGAUAUCACGCAGAACUCCGAUUGCGAAGGCAGCAUACCGGCGCUCAACUGACGCUCAUGCACGAAAGUGUGGGUAUCGAACAGGAUUAGAUACCCGGGUAGUC
This 459-nucleotide ribosomal RNA is filed under the name uncultured bacterium. RNAcentral's name for it is "partial 16S ribosomal RNA". It matches the Rfam family "Bacterial small subunit ribosomal RNA", at positions 338 to 795 of the family's 1533-position model. The record is from RNAcentral.